CAUUUUCUUUUUUCUUUUUCUUUUCUUUUUUUAGCUUUUUGGUCCUUCUGCCGUCAAAAUAGUGUAGGUCAACGACGCGCUCGGCGAGCAUGUAGUUGUGCAGUAUUAAAAUCAUAGUUAAUUAAUUUGAAUACGAUAAAAAUUUGAUAUGAAUAAAAUUUAUAUUUUAAUUUUUAAAUUUGUUGAAAAAUAUGGUUUAAAAAUCGGAUUCGUUAAUAAUUUGUAUAUGCGAUUUAUACGAGAGUUUUAUGUUUAUUAUAUUAUUUAAAAAUUCGGAGCAAAAAUUUAUCUGUUCAAUUAAUUUAUUUCUCACACAAACAAAUGGGGGAGU
This 331-nucleotide long non-coding RNA is filed under the name Ananas comosus (pineapple). RNAcentral's name for it is "long non-coding RNA (ACOM_LNC000336)". The record is from RNAcentral. Lineage: Eukaryota; Viridiplantae; Streptophyta; Magnoliopsida; Poales; Bromeliaceae.